CGAACGGGUGAGUAAUACAUAAGUAACCUGCCCUAGACAGGGGGAUAACUAUUGGAAACGAUAGCUAAGACCNCAUAGGUACGGACACUGCAUGGUGACCGUAUUAAAAGUGCCUCAAAGCACUGGUAGAGGAUGGACUUAUGGCGCAUUAGCUGGUUGGCGGGGUAACGGCCCACCAAGGCGACGAUGCGUAGCCGACCUGAGAGGGUGACCGGCCACACUGGGACUGAGACACGGCCCAGACUCCUACGGGAGGCAGCAUG
Molecule: ribosomal RNA, 263 nt
Filed under: uncultured bacterium
Lineage: Bacteria
Description: partial 16S ribosomal RNA
Rfam family: Bacterial small subunit ribosomal RNA
Source: RNAcentral